Molecule: ribosomal RNA, 414 nt
Filed under: Triticum aestivum (bread wheat)
Lineage: Eukaryota; Viridiplantae; Streptophyta; Magnoliopsida; Poales; Poaceae
Description: partial small subunit ribosomal RNA
Source: RNAcentral
AUGCAGAUGCACAUGUGGGGACACGGGUCGCAGUACCGCCGCGGGCCGGACUCCCUCCGCGGCACGCAGCCGGCGGCGAUGCUCCGGCUCCCGUGCUUCUGCUGCGCGCCGGGGUGCCGGAGCCACGUGGACCACCCGCGGGCGUGGCCGCUCAAGGACUUCCGGACGCUGCAGACGCACUACAAGCGCAGGCACUGUGCCAAGCCAUUCCUCUGCCGCAAGUGCGGCAAGGCGCUCGCCGUGCGCGGCGACUGGCGCACGCACGAGAAGAACUGCGGCCGCCGGUGGCACUGCACCUGCGGCUCCGACUUCAAGCACAAGCGCUCGCUCAAGGAUCACAUUCGGGCCUUCGGGCAGGACCACGUCGAGCGGCCGCCCGCCGCCAAGAUGGGACCGUCGAGCCAUGGACGAUAA